This 253-nucleotide ribosomal RNA is filed under the name uncultured bacterium. RNAcentral describes it as "partial 16S ribosomal RNA". It matches the Rfam family "Bacterial small subunit ribosomal RNA", at positions 524 to 776 of the family's 1533-position model. The record is from RNAcentral.
UACAGAGGUCUCAAGCGUUGUUCGGAUUCAUUGGGCGUAAAGGGCGCGUAGGCGGCGGGGUAAGUCGGGUGUGAAAUCUCAGAGCUCAACUCUGAAACUGCACUCGAUACUGCUCUGCUUGAGGACUGGAGAGGAGACUGGAAUUCACGGUGUAGCAGUGAAAUGCGUAGAUAUCGUGAGGAAGACCAGUGGCGAAGGCGGGUCUCUGGACAGUUCCUGACGCUGAGGUGCGAAGGCCAGGGGAGCAAACGGG